This 31-nucleotide non-coding RNA is filed under the name Mus musculus (house mouse). The record is from RNAcentral. Lineage: Eukaryota; Metazoa; Chordata; Mammalia; Rodentia; Muridae.
UCUAAGAACAUGGAGGAAUAUAGACACCCUC